Molecule: long non-coding RNA, 1666 nt
Organism: Macaca fascicularis (crab-eating macaque)
Lineage: Eukaryota; Metazoa; Chordata; Mammalia; Primates; Cercopithecidae
Source: Ensembl
CAUCGUCUUUACCUUCACCUAGAUAACUCUCACCCUAUCCCCACCUCACACCCUGACUUCUUAAGGUAUCUCAUGUGAGAAACCUGCAGUAUUUUCAACCCUCACUCCUUGUUGCUUUGUGCAAUGGUGUAUGUUUUCACAGAAUAUUUUAUUUUACUUUCAUAUUCUUAGAAAUAUACCUAUGUAUUGUCUAUGUAAUAUGUGUCUUCUUCAGAAUGGAGGUUAUUUGAGGAACCCUAUCUGUUUUGCUGUUAUAUUUGUAGUACUUAGUAUUUACUUUAAUCCAUGGUAUAUAGUUGGUGCUUAAUACAUGCUUAUAUCAUGAAAGCCAGAACUCUGCUUCAGUGUGGGAAUUAGAAGCCACUUUCUUCCUGCUGCAGCCUCUACUGCCAUUCCCCCCUACCCUGUAAUUGGGACCAAGAUGAAGGGUAAGUUUGUGAUUAUCCUUGGUUAGCAGCGUGGGGAUAUGGGCUACUACUUGUUUCUUCCUUUCCUUGCUAUGUUCUCUGGAACAAUGAGUAGUAAAAUAUGUCUACCAAAACACAGCUUUCUUUCAUUCAUUAAACAAAUAUUUGAGUACCUACAAUUGUUAAGGCAGUGUUGCCUGUAUUUCCUUGAGUUACUAUAUUUCUGCAGUGAAAGCUUGAGAAAUCAAGUGACAAGCAUGCAAUCACUCAUUAAAAUGUAGUGACUGUCUCUGAGUUUCUGUUUCUCAGCUAAGUUCUGCAGGGUGCCACAAAAAUGAAGAAAACACUGUCUUGCCUCUUAAAGAACUUGUGAUCUGGAGGGUGACAGGGCAAUGCACUUGCUUCCUCUCCUUGGUUUCUAAAUGUUGAAGUGCUCAGAAACUUGGAGUUCUGUCCUUUUUUCUUCUCUCUCCACUGACUCUAGGUGUAGUUGCCGUAUAUAUGAGAUGACUUUCAAAUUUAUAUCUCUGGAUUCAUAUCUAGCAUCUGACAUCUUUAUUUGAAUAUUGAAUAGGUGUUUCCAAAAUGACACGUCCAAAACAUGAUUGUCACCCUGUCAACCUGGGCCUCCUCUAGCCUUCCCCACCUCAGUAAUUAUUAUCACCAUUUACUCCAUUACUUAUGUCCAGAAGGUUAGAGCCAUCCAUGAUUCAUUUCAUUCCUUCCCAUAUCGAGUCCCUCAGCAAAUCCUGUUGGUUCAGUCUCCAUAUCUUUAAUUUCCUGCAUGGAUUAUUGCAGUUGCCUCCUGUUGCUUUUCUUGCUUCCUUUUAGGCCUUCUAUAAUUUAUUAAGUAUGCAACAGCUAGAAUUAACUUUUCAAAAGUAUAAGUCAGGUAAUGUCAUUACCCUGCUUAGAACCUUCCAGUGUUAAUCAGUAACAUCCAAUGACUUGGUCGGGUGUGGUGACUCAUACCUGUAAUCCCAGCACUUUGGGAGACUGAGGCAGGCAGAUCACUUGAGGCCGGGAGUUUGAAACCAGCCUGGCCAACAUGGUGAAACGCUGUCUCUACUAAAAAUACAAAAAUCAGCUGGGCAUGAUGGCAGGCGCCUGUAGUCCCAGCUACUCGGGAGACUGAGGCAGGAGACUAGCUUGAACCCAGGUGGCGGAGAUUGCAGUGAGCCAAGAUGGCGCCUCUGCACUCCAGCCUGGGUGACAGAGCAAGACUCCUUCUUAAAAAAAAAAAAAAAGAAAAGAAAAAA